CGCUAAGACGGGAACUGGGGCCCCGGAGUCCUGGUCCUUUCCUCGCCCCCUAUGAGAGUUUCCACUGGUGACAGCAUUUACUGUAAGUUCAGUGCUCUGAAGAGCCUGGGCAAACCCCAAGGCAGCAAGUAGGGACGGACAGGGUGGGCGGGCUCUGCGCUUCUCCCCGCCUAGGGGCAGGCCCAGCUUUCGGGAAGUGACUAGCAAGCUCGGAGGAGCGAGCUCCAGCUUUCUCCUCUUGCCAUCUCCUGGGCCUGCAGAUUCCAGAGCCCAAGCUGGCGCAGGCCUGACCAAUAAGCACGGCCUCCUGCCUCUAACUGUGGGGCAAAGUUUGUCUUGACCUCACAAAGCCAAACUGCUUCUUGCGAGAGAAAUGUCUGUAAACUCAGGCCCUUGCCCACACCGGCCACUCCCUAGAGAAAGGUUCUGGCUUGACUUCCCUUGCAGGAGGAAGUGGCUGAUGUGGGCCUCAUCUCUCUACCCUGCCCGGGGCAGCGGGGGCCCCCUGAGAGGACUUAUAGCUAAAGGGACAGUUGGGGGCAGCUGUUUAUCCACAGGGACAACAACCGUACCCAUUAGCUUCCCAGUGUGGGCAGGGACCAGAACUCAGUGAGGGCAUGGAGUGAGUGGGUGGGUGUAUGAAGGAAAUUUCCUCUACCAGGCAGGCCUCUCUGGCCACAGUGGAGAGAGCUAACCUGCCUCCUGACUUUCACAUAGUUAGCCUGAUCUUUGCUUUUCAGAACGUGGUUAGGCCCAUCCGGGUUCUCACGAAGUCAGCUGUCAGUGUUGACCAUCCUACCAGGAGGCCAACUGAGCCCCCCGGGGCAAAACCAUACUGCCUAGUUUCCUAAAAUGCCCACAGGCUGGUGAGGAGAAAGUGCCUCAGAGUCCCUGCACACAUGUGUCUUCUCAGAAGUGUGGAAGCCUCUAAAGGUGGGCCCAGAGCCAGGAAGGAGAUCUGCAGGCAGGUCUCCAGCUGGACUCCUCCUUCCUGCCUCUCCUGCAUUGAGGACCUGACUGCUGGGGUGAGCCAGGGGCUCCCAGGAGCAAGGAGAAGACCCCAGCCCCCUGUGCCCUCCCAAGGGACAGCAGUUAUAAUGAUCAUUACACGCAGAGACUAUGACCCCACAUAACACCACAUAACACCACAUGCCGAGCUGGCCACACCCCUGAAGCCACAGAAUUGCCCACUUCCAUCCUGCCACCCUGGAAAGGCUCUCCACGGAGGCCAGACCAUCCUCCACCAUGAGCCAGGGCCUGGCUCCGUGGCAGCGGGUGGCUGGCCCUUUGGGGAUUCGCUUUCCCUGUUGAAUACCAGUUCUUUCACUUGAAGACAAGAUGAUCCCCGACCUUAGCCAGGGCAGAGCCACUGGGCAAGGACAAAUCCACUGUCCUUCAACACAGAGUGAAAGCCUGGAGGAUCAGCAGCCAUGUGGCCGCCUCGAGAAGAAGCUGCUCCGAUACUGGUUGCACAGACAGGAGAGCUUUGUUUUUCUGCCUCUAACCUGCUCUUUCCAUUCUGAGCUUCUUGCUACGUGAGAAAAAGAAACCACCGCUAGCUGCUGCCUCCCCCUUGAUGGCCUAUCUACUACGUGUCGCUGUCUGGACUCCUGGGAAGCCCAAUUGGGAAAACAGAGAGCAGAGGCUUACGAGACCAACAGUGGAAAGCAAGACCUGCUGGUGGGUGCUGAGACUCGGGUCUCCCUUUGCUGGAGCUCCCAGCUAAUCGACGAACAAGAGGCAUGUUCAUGUGCCAGCUGAGUCGUUCCAGAUCUUUGAAUUCUUUAUGCUAAUAAACCUUAGGGCACAGUCUCCCAGAGUCAGACAAAGAACCGUGGAAAUGGUAGAGGACCCUACAAAGGCACCCCAGCAGGCCAAGGGCACCGUCUUUGGGAACGUCUCAAUUAUCUAAUUUUCCUCUAACUUCUCCUCAUUUUUCAUGGUAUUA
Non-coding RNA from Peromyscus maniculatus bairdii (prairie deer mouse), 1948 nucleotides. Lineage: Eukaryota; Metazoa; Chordata; Mammalia; Rodentia; Cricetidae. The record is from RefSeq and is a predicted model, not a curated record.